UGGGGAAUAUUGGACAAUGGGCGCAAGCCUGAUCCAGCCAUGCCGCGUGGAUGAUGAAGGCCUUAGGGUUGUAAAAUCCUUUCGUGGGGGACGAUAAUGACGGUACCCCAAGAAGAAGCUCCGGCUAACUUCGUGCCAGCAGCCGCGGUAAUACGAAGGGGGCUAGCGUUGUUCGGAUUUACUGGGCGUAAAGCGCGUGUAGGCGGGUCGUUAAGUUGGGGGUGAAAUCCCGAGGCUCAACCUCGGAACUGCCUUCAAAACUGGCGACCUGGACUCAAGCAGAGGCAAGUGGAAUUGCGAGUGUAGAGGUGAAAUUCGUAGAUAUUCGCAGGAACACCAGUGGCGAAGGCGACUUGCUGGGCUUGUAAUGACGCUGAGACGCGAAAGCGUGGGGAGCAAACAGGAUUAGAUACCCCGGUAGUCCCUGAG
This 429-nucleotide ribosomal RNA is filed under the name uncultured bacterium. RNAcentral describes it as "bacterial SSU rRNA". It matches the Rfam family "Bacterial small subunit ribosomal RNA", at positions 355 to 801 of the family's 1533-position model. The record is from RNAcentral.